This 1536-nucleotide ribosomal RNA is filed under the name Triticum aestivum (bread wheat). RNAcentral's name for it is "partial small subunit ribosomal RNA". Lineage: Eukaryota; Viridiplantae; Streptophyta; Magnoliopsida; Poales; Poaceae. The record is from RNAcentral.
AUGAGUGCGUCCACAAUGGCGCCAACCCAGCAGGCACUCGCCGCUGCAGCGACGUCACAGCCGCCGCACUUCGUCUUGGUCCCUCUCGCGGCGCACGGCCAUCUCAUCCCGAUGGUCGACCUCGCGCGCCUCCUCGCGUCCCGUGGCGCGCGCGUGAGCCUGCUCACCACGCCCCUGAAUGCCAGGCGGCUGCGCGACGGCGGCGUCGCCGACAAGGCCGCUCGCGCGAAGCUCCUGCUGGAGGUCAUCGAGCUCCCGUACUCGCCGGCCGACUACGGCCUGCCACCGGACUGCCAGAACGCCGACAUGAUCGCCAACAACGCCCAGAUGCUCCCCUUCUUUCUCGCCCUGCGCGAGCUUGCUCGGCCGUUCGACGCCUACGUGCGCGCGCUGGUGCCGCGCCCGAGCUGCAUCAUCUCCGACUGGUGUAACUCGUGGACAGCCGGCGUCGCCACUUGCCUCGGCAUCCCGCGGCUGUUCUUCCAAGGGCCGUCCUGCUUCUUCUCGCUCUGUGACCUCAACGCCACCGCGCACGGGCUGCACGAGCGGAUAGCCAACGCCGAAGACUGCGAGCCGCACGUCGUGCCCGGCAUGUCGGUGUCCGUAAAGGUGGGCAACGGCAGGCCCCACGGCUUCUUCACCUCACCGGGGUGCAAGGAGCUGCGUCACGACGCCGUCGCGGCCAUGCGUACGUCCCAGGGUGUGGUGAUCAACACCUUCCUGGACCUCGAAGAAAAGUCCGUGGCGUGCUACGAGGCUGCUCUCGGCAAGCCCGUGUGGACGCUCGGCCCGUUCUGCCUGCACAACCGUGACGGCGAGGACAUGGCGUCGCGCGGUGGCAACAAGAGCGGCGUCAGCGAGAGGGCGAUCGUCGCGUGGCUGGACAAGCAAGCGCCGGAGUCCGUCGUAUAUGUCAGCUUCGGCAGCGUCGCACGGAAGCUCCCCAAGCAGCAGUUCGAGAUCGGCCACGGCCUGGAGCACAGCGGCAGGCCUUUUCUCUGGGUCGUGAAGGAGUCCGAGCUGGCCUCGCCGGAGGCUCGUAUGUGGCUAGAGAGCCUGCAGGCGCGCACGUCGGGGCGGGGUCUCGUGGUGCGCGGCUGGGCGCCGCAGCUCGCCGUCCUGUCCCACCGCUCCGUGGGGGGAUUCGUCACGCACUGCGGCUGGAACUCGGUGCUGGAGUCCAUCGCGCACGGCGUGCCGGUCUUGACGUGGCCGCACUUUGCCGAUCAGUUCCUGAACGAGCAGCUGGCUGUGGACGUGCUCGGGGUCGGCCUCCGGAUCGGCGUCAUGGCGCCCGUGAUGAUCCUGAACGACGACGCGGCCGCGCCGGUGCUGCGUGGCGACAUCGCACGCGCGGUGUCAGAGCUCAUGCAGGGCGGGGAGGAGGCCGAAGAGAGGAGGAGGAAGGCCAAGGAGUACGGCGCGAAAGCUCGGAAGGCCAUGGAGAAAGGAGGCGAUUCGUACGAAAGGCUUACGCAUCUCAUCGAAAGCUUCAGGCACGUGGAGGCAAAGUACAUGAACAUUGCAGCGGGGUGA